Molecule: ribosomal RNA, 386 nt
Filed under: uncultured bacterium
Lineage: Bacteria
Description: bacterial SSU rRNA
Rfam family: Bacterial small subunit ribosomal RNA
Source: RNAcentral
AUUGAACGCUGGCGGCAUGCUUUACACAUGCAAGUCGAACGGCAGCACGGGUGCUUGCACCUGGUGGCGAGUGGCGGACGGGUGAGUAAUGCAUCGGAACGUGUCCUGAAGUGGGGGAUAACGCAUCGAAAGAUGUGCUAAUACCGCAUAUUCUCUGAGGAGGAAAGUAGGGGAUCGAAAGACCUUAUGCUUUUGGAGCGGCCGAUGUCUGAUUAGCUAGUUGGUAGGGUAAUGGCUUACCAAGGCGACGAUCAGUAGUUGGUCUGAGAGGACGGCCAGCCACACUGGGACUGAGACACGGCCCAGACUCCUACGGGAGGCAGCAGUGGGGAAUUUUGGACAAUGGGCGCAAGCCUGAUCCAGCAAUGCCGCGUGAGUGAAGAAGG